RNAcentral lists this ribosomal RNA (411 nucleotides) under Triticum aestivum (bread wheat). Its description in RNAcentral is "partial small subunit ribosomal RNA". The record is from RNAcentral. Lineage: Eukaryota; Viridiplantae; Streptophyta; Magnoliopsida; Poales; Poaceae.
AUGGUCCUCCGUAGCGAUUCAGGUGAAGUCAUCUAUUCCUCCUGUCGCUACCUCAGGUCCUGCACUUCAGCGCUGGAAGCAGAGCUAGAUGCAUGUAUGGAAGGAAUCAAUAUAGCAAGGGCCUGGAGCACAGCGCCAAUGAUAGUGGAAACUGAUUGUUUGAUGGUUGUCCAGAUGCUCCUUGAGAGCGACACAAACAGGUCUCCAUGUGCAACGUAUGUACACGAGAUCAAGAGACUACUUGGGCAGGUAGGGGAACAUGUGAUUUCGCAUGUGGUAAGGAGUAGAAACACUGUAGCCCAUGCUCUAGCUCACUUGAGGCAGGCAGGGCAGCGAACAGCCGUUUGGCUACGUAGUACUCCGAGAGAAAUAGACAUUUUAUGUAAGGCAGACCGUAUUGAUCCGACUUAA